RNAcentral lists this ribosomal RNA (450 nucleotides) under uncultured bacterium. RNAcentral describes it as "bacterial SSU rRNA". It matches the Rfam family "Bacterial small subunit ribosomal RNA", at positions 29 to 459 of the family's 1533-position model. The record is from RNAcentral.
AACGAACGCUGGCGGCGUGCCUAACACAUGCAAGUCGUGCGAGAAAGUUCCUUCGGGAGCGAGUAAAGCGGCGCACGGGUGAGUAACACGUAGGUAACCUGCCCCCCAGUCUGGAACAACUAGAGGAAACUCUAGCUAAUGCCGGAUGAGACCACGAUCCCUUCCGGGGGUUGGCGGCCAAAGAAUGGCCUCUACUUGUAAGCUAUCGCUGAGGGAUGGGCCUGCGGGCCAUUAGCUUGUUGGUGAGGUAACGGCUCACCAAGGCUGUGAUGGCUAGCUGGUCUGAGAGGAUGACCAGCCACACUGGGACUGAGACACGGCCCAGACUCCUACGGGAGGCAGCAGUGGGGAAUAUUGCGCAAUGGGCGAAAGCCUGACGCAGCGACGCCGCGUGGGUGAUGAAGGCCUUCGGUCGGUAAAGCCGUCGUCGCAGGGAAGGAAUAAGACGAU